Long non-coding RNA from Octopus bimaculoides (California two-spot octopus), 2106 nucleotides. RefSeq lists it as uncharacterized. Lineage: Eukaryota; Metazoa; Mollusca; Cephalopoda; Octopoda; Octopodidae. The record is from RefSeq and is a predicted model, not a curated record.
UCUUAGUUCAACAGAGAACAUAUAAAGCUAGCGGCAUUCGUUAGUGACUCACAAAGAAAAGAGAAGAUAAUUUCACUAAAUUAAGAAUUGUUUAAAAAAAAAAUCGUUAAGUCACGUGCUUAAAGGGAAUUCUGACAUUUGUUAGCGUCCCUUAAGGAAGGCGAUUAAUUUUUUUUUAUUUUGUUUUCAUUAAUUCAAAUUUUUUCGCAUUAUCUCCCUUCUUCUCAGUGGAAUACUAACGAAGGCUGCUAGGUUUAGUUUUCGCUCUCCAACUAGAAAGAGCAAGUCUUAUUCAUUAGAAAUCUUCUGAAUAGGUGUUUCGCAUUUCCACAUAUAUUUUAUUUAUUUCAGUCUUUGCUGAAUUAUUUCCUUAAGUCCAAUUUUGUUCAUUGUGCAAAUUACAGCUCGUUAUACGUCAAUCGGAGCCUUGUUUUUCUCUACCUACAUACCGUAUUAUUUUUACCGAUCAAGCGAAUUUGUAAGCUCCAAAGAGACCAUAAUAUCCGUCAGACAAUUUAAGGUGCCAUUAUAUUAAACAUUUGCGAAGAGUAAGCAUGCCACGCACAAAAAAUUCAACAGAACUGUCAGAAUUUCAAAGAGGUCGUAUUGUUGGGUAAUCUGAGGCUGGUCUUAGCCAGCGAAAAUUGCCGAAAAAUCUUCAAAUUCCUCUUGCUAUUGAGAAUCAACAGAUUCUCGUCCUGGCCGAUGUGGGUCCUCGGAAAGGAAGCUUCACUGUUUGAAGAGAAUUGUGGAAAACGAACCCCGUUGAAGGCUUCUGGCAUUGCAAAACAGCUAGAAGUUAGUCAAAGAACGUGUGUUACAUAUCUGCAUAAGUUUCGGUAUUAUAAACGAGCAGCUAGAAGAAAACCUCUUCCUCAAUCAACUAAUAUCAUGAAAAGAAAGAAAUGGGCUAAGGUGAUGUCAGAAAAAAUCCAGUUCAUUUUGGGAUAGAGUGAUUUUAUCAGAUGAAUCCAGAUUUGCAUUAUUUGAACCCAGAAUGUGAAGACCGAAGAAAUACAGUUAUGUACUGUGUCACAUUAGCCUAUUUUGCCGAGCUGUUAAGUGAGGCGAACGUAAACACACCCAUAUCGGCUGACAAGCGGUUGUGUUAUACACACACACACACAAACACACAUACACACAUCGCUUAGUGGUUUGGAUGUUGCAUUCACGAUUGCGAGAUCAUGGUUUCGAUUCCCUGACCAGGCAUUCUGUUGUGUUUUCUCCAACAAAGCACUUCAUUUCACGUUGCUCUGCAAUCAUUUCAUGUGACAUGUGGCAUACGGUACACCUGUACAGGUAAUUUCAAUGUGAUGGAGGGAGUGAGCUUAUGUGCAACACGAACAUUUUAUUACGAUAAACAAAUCAUGUGCGGUUGUGCAGCAAGAAACUUCAGUGCCUUCAUACGUCGUCUAAUGACGUGAGUGAACAUGAUACACACAUACACACGCACAAACACACAUAUAUAUAUAUACAUAUAUACACAUAGACACACACUCACCCACACACAUACUCAGACAUACACACACACGACGUAUUUCUUUCAGUCUCCGUCUACAAAAUCCGUUCAUAAGACACUUUCCCAAGGUGCCAUGCAGUGGGUUUGAAACUGGAACCAAUGUAGUCGGGAAGCCAGCUUCUUACACCUUUGUGAAAUUUAUUUUUUAAGCACGAUCUUCUGUAUUUUCCCUUUUACUUUCAAUCUCGCUUUCUUUUAUUGACCUUUGAAAAAGCAAACAGCUGUUGAACCCAUUUAAUACAUAUGUUACCAAAUUUGAAAGCCUACCAUUCGUUUUAAGACUCCUUUGCAUUUCCAAUCCCAUUCCCCCACAAGCCAACUCUCCUAUACUAUUUCCUGCGUCAGAAUGCACUUCUUUAUCUCCAUAUACAUUUAUAUAUAAAUAUGUCUAUGUGUGUGGGUCUGUAUGUGUGUGUUUGUAUGUGUACGUGUUUGUAUGUGUGAGGUAUGUGUCUAUAUCUUUCUCCUACUCGUCUCUUCUCUUUAUUCUACUUGAUUCCUCUUUUUCUUUUUCUUUUCUUUUUCAUAUUUAAAGCUUUAAAUGGGUGUAUGCCGUUUAUUUAUGCAAGUAAAUGUAUAUGCCUGUA